RNAcentral lists this ribosomal RNA (378 nucleotides) under uncultured eukaryote. RNAcentral's name for it is "SSU rRNA". It matches the Rfam family "Eukaryotic small subunit ribosomal RNA", at positions 587 to 972 of the family's 1831-position model. The record is from RNAcentral.
AGCUCCAAUAGCGUAUAUUAAAGUUGUUGCGGUUAAAAGCUCGUAGUUGGAUUUCUGGUGGAGACAACCGGUCCGGCUUAAGGCCGUGUAUCUGGUCUGGCUCCGUCAUCCGGAAGUUUAAGGUGCGUCGCUUCACUGCGAUGUCCGUAAGCUUCCCUUUUACUUUGAGGAAAUUAGAGUGUUCACAGCAGGCAAUCGCCGUGAAUACGUUAGCAUGGAAUAAUCAUAUAGGACUUCGGCCCUAUUUUGUUGGUUUCUAGAGCUGAAGUAAUGAUUAAUAGGAACAAUUGGGGGCAUUCGUAUUAUGGCGUCAGAGGUGGAAUUCUUGGAUUGCCGUACGACGAACUACUGCGAAAGCAUUUGCCAAGGAUGUUUUCA